Molecule: ribosomal RNA, 341 nt
Filed under: uncultured bacterium
Lineage: Bacteria
Description: bacterial SSU rRNA
Rfam family: Bacterial small subunit ribosomal RNA
Source: RNAcentral
AACGAACGCUGGCGGCAGGCCUAAUACAUGCAAGUCGAACGCACUCUUCGGGAGUGAGUGGCAGACGGGUGAGUAACGCGUGGGAACCUUCCUAGUAGUACGGAAUAACUCCGGGAAACCGGUGCUAAUACCGUAUAAGCCCUCCGGGGGAAAGAUUUAUCGCUACUAGAUGGGCCCGCGUCGGAUUAGCUUGUUGGUGAGGUAAUGGCUCACCAAGGCUUCGAUCCGUAGCUGGUCUGAGAGGACGACCAGUCACACCGGAACUGAGACACGGUCCGGACUCCUACGGGAGGCAGCAGUGGGGAAUAUUGGACAAUGGGCGAAAGCCUGAUCCAGCGACG